This 902-nucleotide ribosomal RNA is filed under the name uncultured bacterium. RNAcentral describes it as "bacterial SSU rRNA". It matches the Rfam family "Bacterial small subunit ribosomal RNA", at positions 8 to 917 of the family's 1533-position model. The record is from RNAcentral.
AGAGUUUGAUCCUGGCUCAGGACGAACGCUGGCGGCGUGCCUAACACAUGCAAGUCGAGCGGAGAUAGACUGAUGGUAACUGAAGUUUGUCUUAGCGGCGGACGGGUGAGUAACACGUGGGCAACCUGCCUUGGAGUGGGGGAUAACACCGGGAAAUCGGUGCUAAUACCGCAUAACAUACACAAACUGCAUGGUAAGUGUAUCAAAGGAGCAAUCCGCUUUAAGAUGGGCCCGCGGCUGAUUAGCUAGUUGGUAAGGUAACGGCUUACCAAGGCGACGAUCAGUAGCCGACCUGAGAGGGUGACCGGCCACACUGGAACUGAGACACGGUCCAGACUCCUACGGGAGGCAGCAGUGGGGAAUAUUGCGCAAUGGGGGGAACCCUGACGCAGCAACGCCGCGUGGAGGAAGAAGGUCUUCGGAUUGUAAACUCCUGUCUUCUGGGACGAAGUAUGACGGUACCAGAGGAGGAAGCCACGGCUAACUACGUGCCAGCAGCCGCGGUAAUACGUAGGUGGCGAGCGUUGUCCGGAAUUACUGGGCGUAAAGGGCGCGUAGGCGGCUUUUUAAGUUAGAUGUGAAAACCCGGGGCUUAACUUCGGGCGUGCAUUUAAAACUGGAGAGCUUGAGUGCAGGAGAGGUAAGUGGAAUUCCUAGUGUAGCGGUGAAAUGCGUAGAUAUUAGGAGGAACACCAGUGGCGAAGGCGACUUACUGGACUGUAACUGACGCUGAGGCGCGAAAGCGUGGGAAGCAAACAGGAUUAGAUACCCUGGUAGUCCACGCUGUAAACGAUGGAUACUAGGUGUGGGAGGUAUCGACCCCUUCCGUGCCGCAGUUAACGCAAUAAGUAUCCCGCCUGGGGAGUACGGCCGCAAGGUUGAAACUCAAAGGAAUUGACGGA